AUUGAACGCUGGCGGCAGGCCUAACACAUGCAAGUCGAGCGGAUGAAGGGAGCUUGCUCCUGGAUUCAGCGGCGGACGGGUGAGUAAUGCCUAGGAAUCUGCCUGGUAGUGGGGGAUAACGUCCGGAAACGGGCGCUAAUACCGCAUACGUCCUGAGGGAGAAAGUGGGGGAUCUUCGGACCUCACGCUAUCAGAUGAGCCUAGGUCGGAUUAGCUAGUUGGUGGGGUAAAGGCCUACCAAGGCGACGAUCCGUAACUGGUCUGAGAGGAUGAUCAGUCACACUGGAACUGAGACACGGUCCAGACUCCUACGGGAGGCAGCAGUGGGGAAUAUUGGACAAUAGGCGAAAGCCUGAUCCAGCCAUGCCGCGUGUGUGAAGAAGGUCUUCGGAUUGUAAAGCACGUUAAGUUGGGAGGAAGGGCAGUAAGUUAAUACCUAGCUGUUUUGACGUUACCAACAGAAUAAGCACCGGCUAACUUCGUG
RNAcentral lists this ribosomal RNA (484 nucleotides) under uncultured bacterium. RNAcentral describes it as "partial 16S ribosomal RNA". It matches the Rfam family "Bacterial small subunit ribosomal RNA", at positions 30 to 507 of the family's 1533-position model. The record is from RNAcentral.